GCAAGUGAUUGACAGGCCUUCGGACCAAUCGAGCUUCAGUAUUUCAUCUGCAUUCAUGUAUGUCGGUAUCUUUUUCAAAAUAUCUCUUCACAUGUGGGUGGGCAAAUUGUGACAUUUUCUUCACUCUUAACGCAUUUUACUUAAAUAUGAGCUCUUGCUGGUAGUGAUUGAAGAAAUAGUGAUAUAACCAACAAACUACUAUUUUCCCUCUAUGGUCAUUCAGUGUCGUAUAUGUCAAUUAUGCGAUCUGCAGCCCACUUGAUUUAAAACAUUUUAGGACAGUAAUUCAGAUUUUUAAUUAUUAAAGAUAGUAACGUUGCCUACAUUUCUUUAUAUUAAACGACUGUCCCAAAUGGCACACUUCGCCCUUGUGGACCUCCUUUAGAAUCCACGCUCUUCAUUGGAUUUACCCAGAUUGCACAUCGAGUAGUUGUAUACGUAAGUAGAUAGCGCCAUCUGGUGGUUCUACGUCUGAAGCCUAUGCUCAUAUAAAAGAGUUUAUUGUUCCUAUGCAUUUUACAGUUUACACAAAAAGAACAGGCUGUUGACAGUUUGCUGUCUUACAAAGAUAUAAAUGUGUGCAUGCCCCAAAAAGUAAACCCAUAUGCUGACAAAACUCAGAGGGUUGUUUAUCUUUCGACAAAAAUUAAGCUGGAGUCAUUAUGAUGAUGCUGG
Long non-coding RNA from Sinocyclocheilus rhinocerous, 675 nucleotides. RefSeq lists it as uncharacterized. NCBI's taxonomy places the organism in Eukaryota, Metazoa, Chordata, Actinopteri, Cypriniformes, Cyprinidae. The transcript is spliced from 3 exons. The record is from RefSeq and is a predicted model, not a curated record.